ACGAAAUUAGAGUAGCAUCCCUCAAGCUUACAACCCUCAACUUAUAGCAAAUUUCCAAUUUCGUUUUCCUUAAAACAUUGCCCCCUCAUAGUUUCUUCUUUAUUAGGUUCUAAAAAUGGGAAAGUUUAUAUGGUUGUGUCAAAUCCGUAGUCUCCUCUUUGUGCUGUUCUUUCUUUCCGUAGUUGAUUGUUGUCUGAAUUGUCUUCCUCGUCUAUUAAUCCAACUCCUUCAUGUUUACCAGAAGACACUUCAGCCUUGCUUCAAUUCAAGAACACUAUGUCCAUUGAUGAUUCUGCUUUUUUUUUUCCUACUGUUAUCCCAAGACAAACUCCUGGAAUGAAAGCACCAACUGUUGCUCAUGGGAGGGAGUCACUUGUGAAAAGGCAACAGGUCAGGUGAUUAGCCUCGACCUUAGUUGCUCUAAGCUUGUUGGCUCCCUUUCUCCAAACACCACCCUUGUUCGCCUUCGAGGACUCAAACGACUUGACCUCUCUUUGAACAAUUUCAGUGCUUCUUCGAUUCCGUCUGGGUUUAAUCAGUUAUCUUACAGGUCCAAUCAAUCAAAUUCAAAAGCCUAAUCAAUUCAAUGGGUUUAUUUGGCGGACAAUGAAAUCCAUGGUGAAAUACUGUUGAGCAUUGGCCUGCAAUGCAACAUGUAACCAGCAGCUCGACAAGCAGACCAGCAAUGGAGCAGAACCAGAUGCAGCAGCUGAUUUGGUCCAUUUUGUUCAUUUUGCUCCUAUGUAACUUAGUUUAGUUUCUUUUGUAACUUGUACUCAAAGUUAGUAGGAUUAUAAUUUGUUUUGAAAUUGAUGUAGUAGCUGAUAUGUCAGCUUGUUUUUUGUGUUACUCAAGUUUGUAUUAGUAUGUAUUAGUGGGAGCAGUUAUGUCAUUAGGUAACUGUUCAAA
Gossypium arboreum is the source of this 909-nucleotide long non-coding RNA. RefSeq lists it as uncharacterized. Lineage: Eukaryota; Viridiplantae; Streptophyta; Magnoliopsida; Malvales; Malvaceae. The transcript is spliced from 2 exons. The record is from RefSeq and is a predicted model, not a curated record.